Long non-coding RNA from Mesocricetus auratus (golden hamster), 1499 nucleotides. RefSeq lists it as uncharacterized. NCBI's taxonomy places the organism in Eukaryota, Metazoa, Chordata, Mammalia, Rodentia, Cricetidae. The record is from RefSeq and is a predicted model, not a curated record. The transcript has 2 exons.
AAUCCUGAAAAAGAAAGUGGACAGGAAGAUGGUAUUGAGUCUGAAGUGACCCAGAGAGAAGAGGCUAGUGGCCAUCCAACCUAAGCCUCUGCCCAAUACCUCCCCACUGUAGUCUCCCUCCUGCCUCACCUGGUUGGACAAGAAAGAGGACCCAGGAAUGGUACUAGGAUCCUGGGCCAAAAUGUGACCACAGAUAAGCAGACAAGACAUCGGACACGCCACAACCUGGGGGUGAGGAUGGGAAUAAAGGCAGUCUGCAUAUACUGCUCAGAUCAGUGUCAGCUCUGGGUUUGGAAGGUUUUCUCUAUGCUACAUCUUGGGUAACCAGUUUUUAAUAUUUUUAAACAGAGAGGCCUCAGUCACCCUACCUCUCUUAAAAACAAAUGAACAAUAAACCAUGUAAAUAUACAUGAUCUUUUGCAUGAUGGUGCAUGCCUUUAAUCCCAGCACUCAAGAGACAGAGGCAGGUGGAUCACUGUGAGUUUGAGCCUAACUUGAUCUAGACAAUGAGUUUCAGGUCACUUUGGGAUACAUAUCAAGACUCUCAAAAAAAAAAAAAAAACAAAACAAAAGGCCGGGCAAUGGUGGCACAUGCCUUGAAUCACACCUGGAUUUCCGAGGUCCCACCAAUGGUAGAUUUUCUCAGUUAACCUCACCAUAUCUGGAUACUUCUUGCUCCUCAAACUACUCUUCAGAAACUGGCCUUCAGCUCGAGAUGCAUGCUGACCAAAUGCCAUUACAAGAAAAGUAGUCCUGACUCACCUCAUCGUCCUUGUUCCCAGAGACCAGCUCCUGGGACUCAGGCUGAAGCUGAGUGUCCAGCUCCGGGUAGGUGCCUGGAUCCACAUCCGAGUCCUCAUCUUUCUCCAGCUCUUCCUCCUCUUCUUCAUCAACCUCAAUAUCCUCAAUUGCCCGUAACUUCUUUCCUUUCACCAAGAUCUUCCUUUGAAGCUGCUAGGGAACAAAAAUAAAGAGACCUAUCUACUUGUCUGCUCAAGCCCCUCCUGCAGAAGGCAGAAGAGAGUGAGCUGUCAGAAGUUUCCCUCAAUACAUAUGGCAAAGCCACUUAUUCUCAAACAAACUUAGGCUGUUUCUAUCCAUAUGAAAAACAAUCAAUAGGUCCUUCACUCAUAUUUUACACACUGAAAACUCCCUUAGGUUAAAGGUUUGCAUAUGUAAAGCACAUAGGAGUUUCUUGAAUAGUCUUUUCAUGGAAAAGCCUUUAGACAGGAUAUGAAUUGGGAAUUGGUUGCUCAAGCCUGAAGUUCAGAACUCUGAAGGAAGGCAGGCAGGACUAGAUGCUAAAAAGUGCCAAGCAUGCUUGUGCAUGCAAUAAUACUAGCACUCAAAAAAACUCAGAGCAACAAAAAAAAGAGAAGCCCUUCUUUUCAAUGUUUGUUAUUAUGAAUCAUCUCACUAUGCUGUUCUGUUGGUCAGAGUAAAAUUUGGUACUUUUUGGAGAGCAACUCAGCAAUAAUAAUAAAAAUUGUCAAACUGUG